This 496-nucleotide ribosomal RNA is filed under the name uncultured bacterium. RNAcentral's name for it is "partial 16S ribosomal RNA". It matches the Rfam family "Bacterial small subunit ribosomal RNA", at positions 30 to 523 of the family's 1533-position model. The record is from RNAcentral.
AUUGAACGCUGGCGGAAUGCUUUACACAUGCAAGUCGAACGGUAGAGGGGGCAACCCCUCGAGAGUGGCGAACGGGUGAGUAAUAUAUCGGAACGUGCCCAGUCGUGGGGGAUAACGUAGCGAAAGUUACGCUAAUACCGCAUACGAUCUAAGGAUGAAAGCGGGGGAUCGCAAGACCUCGCGCGAUUGGAGCGGUCGAUAUCAGAUUAGGUAGUUGGUGGGGUAAAGGCUCACCAAGCCAACGAUCUGUAGCUGGUCUGAGAGGACGACCAGCCACACUGGAACUGAGACACGGUCCAGACUCCUACGGGAGGCAGCAGUGGGGAAUUUUGGACAAUGGACGCAAGUCUGAUUCAGCCAUUCCGCGUGCAGGAUGAAGGCCCUCGGGUUGUAAACUGCUUUUGUACGGAACGAAAAGGUCUCUCUUAAUACGGGGGACUCAUGACGGUACCGUAAGAAUAAGCACCGGCUAACUACGUGCCAGCCGCCGCGGUAA